Molecule: long non-coding RNA, 6963 nt
Organism: Pangasianodon hypophthalmus (striped catfish)
Lineage: Eukaryota; Metazoa; Chordata; Actinopteri; Siluriformes; Pangasiidae
Exons: 4
Source: RefSeq, a predicted model, not a curated record
UUAAUAAUAAAAACCUUCAUUUAAAAACUGUGUUUUGUGUUUACUCAUGUUAUCUUUGACUAAUAUUUAAAUUUGUUUGAUGAUCUGAAACAUUAAAGUGUGACAAACAUGCAAAAAGAUUGGAAAUCAGGAAGGGGGCCAACACUUUUUCACACCACUGUACAUAACAAAACAUGUCAUAUUCCAUUGGUAUGCGAGCUAUAGCUGUAAGUUAUAACUUGAGCUAUUCUGUACUGGCAUUAAAUAACAUGGCUAGGCUCCGCAUUGACAUAACUAGCCUGCUAACUCCUAAGGCUAACAUAACUCUGACGUCACCAAUGUUAUAGUCUGUGUUUAAUGUUAGUGUAAGCGAUGCAGACUCAAUUAAUUCAAGCUCAUAGCACUAAAUAAACCAUUGUGAAGGCAGUCAUCUGAACUGAAUGAAAUUAUGAAUUACAAAUGAAGAAAGUGACACUUCUCCAGGGAUACUGUGUGCUUUAAGGAAUUUCAGUUUUCUCCACAAUGUACCUUUUGUAUUUCAUAUUCCGACCUUUUCAUUGGAGGGGUAGACUGUUAAACUCAGACUUCACAGGCUCCCCAUAAUGCUUAUCAAUGAAUAAAAAGAAAGUGAACGUUUGACCCUGACUCCGCCACAUUUUUCCCGCCAUUCACAUUGACCAAUCAACUUUUCUGACAAUUCAAAAAUUCACAAACCAUAAUCAACAGGAUAAGUUAAGAUAGGUGGCAGUCGCUCACGUUCAUCACUUGUUCUGAUUAUUUUUGCACUAGUACAGUGGUGUGGAGGCUCCAAUGUUGGGAAGUGAAGUAUUGUGCCUACUUCUCAGAUCCGGAAUUUUGACUCAAAUAAGUUUUUGGAUGGAUCAGACAACGAUUACAUCGUGGAGUGGCGGGAUGGGGGGAAAAACGCCCAAAGGAGGAUGGCCCGUGUUUCAGGUUAUAGUGCACAAAGUUGCAGAGAGGACGCCUACAAUACAGACUAAUCUGCAGCAGAGGGUGUCUGUGAAAGUAAGCCCAUUACCACUUAAAAAAUGGUCAGAAAUCCCAAUCCUACAUUUUCUGAUAGCCCUGAGGAGAGCAAUCUACAGCAGGACACUAGAAACAGGCCAUUAACCUUGUGAAGAGAGGCUUCUGGAACAGAAUGGUUGAGAAUGCUUCAUCUUCAAGUGCAUAUGACGCUUCCUCCAUUCAGAAGGUUAGGGAGAAGGUGAUUUUGCUGUGCAACACUCUUCUUCAGCGUCGAGCUUCACCCUGGAUCCAAUGUAUUUGUCACCACCAGUGCUAUGAUUGGUAUUUACAAAUUGUCCAUGGGGUGUGAGUGUGUGCGAUUGUGCCCUGUGAUGGGUUGGCACCCUGUCCAGGGUGUCACCCACCUUGUGCCCCGAGUCCCAGUCGCAGGGAGCCUGGGAUAGAAUAAGUAGUACCGAAAAUGGAUGGAUGUUAUUUUCUGAUGAUUAUAUUCACAUUUAUUUAUUUAUUUAGCAGAUGCUUAAAAGUGACUCAGGCUGUGUUCACACCUGGUAUUACCAUCCGUCACAAGUACAAGUGGACAGCAAAACCAUAAAUGUGCAAGUGUAAAUGGCAUUAUGAAGGCGUCUCCAGUGACUAAUUGUGAUGGGAUUUCAAACAUCAUUUCCGCAGAAGGAAGAGCAUUGAGUAUACUUAUUACGCCUGUCUUUUGCUACAUUUAUUUUCAGGCAGAAUUGUCCUGCGAAUCCUAUUAAAUGUACUGUACCUGUACAGGCUGUUUCAGACAUUUCAGUUGUGUGGUCUGCUAUUGAAACUUAUAAAUGCUGUUAUAGAAUUGGCUGUAUCCAUUAGCCUAGUGGCAUUUCCAAACACAAUGAUUAGGUAUACUCUUUCUAGGGCAAUGACACAGUUAAUUAGGUGGUCAUUUCUUGCUGUCUGGGAUGCAUUAAGACGCAUUAAUGUUCAGACUACAAAUGUGAUGUGGUCUUAUGCAUCCCAAACCACCUCCAAAUGUGGUUUGCGUGAUUGGAUCACAGUACAUCAUCAAGAUGCAUUGGACCCUGUUUACACCUGUACAUAGUGCUGUCCACUUACAGAUGACCCAGGACGCAUCUUAAUGCCGUGUCUGAGCAGGGCCUGGAGCACAUGGAAUGCUCUACAGGUUGGGCUAAAGGAGCAAUUAUGUUUAUGUCUUGUUUUUCAAGCUUUGUAAAACCCAUAUUGUUAGAAGUUUAAGCAGUUCUGUUGUAAUAAAGGUUUUUGUUAAAUUUCUGAAAGUAAGACAACACAAAAGACAAAGUAGUUACUGCAUAAACAACAAAUUAUUUUAUCUAUUUAUUUUAUUUUAUUUAUUUGUAUAGCGCUUUUAACAAUGGAUAUUGUCACAAAGCAGCUUUACAGAAAUAAAUGGAUUCACAAAAAAUAUAUUGUAAAUAUGUGAAUUUAUCCCUAAUGAGCAAGCCAGAGGCAAUGGUGGCAAGGAAAAACUCCCUGAGACAAUAUGAGGAAGAAACCUUGAGAGGAACCAGGUGAAAGUUGGGGGGCGACAGCAUUCAAACAUCCCAGUACACCACAACACUCUAUGCCUGUGAACCCUCCAGACCUGCCCCUGUACCUAAGAAAAAACUGUUCACAAAAGGCUUGACUAAACAUAUAUGUUUUUAGCCUAGCCUUAAACAUUGAGACUGUGUCUGAGCCCCAAUCACUAAGUGGAAGGCUGUUCCAUAACUGUGGCGCUUUGUAAGAGAAAGCUCUACCCCCAGCUGUAGCCCGCAUUAUUCGAGGUACCAACAAAUAGCCUGCACCUUUUGAUCUAAGUAGGUGUGGCGGAUCAUAAAAGACCAAACGUUCGCUCAGGUACUGUGGCCCAAGACCAUUUAGUGCUUUAUAGGUCAAUAGUAAUAUUUUAUAAUCAAUACAAGAUUUGAUUGGGAGCCAAUGCAGUGUGGCUAAGAUAGGGGUGAUGUGGUCAUAUCUUCUGAUUCUAGUAAGGACUCUCGCUGCUGCAUUCUGGACUAACUGGAGCUUGUUUAUGCAUCUACCAGAAUAUCUAGGCAGAAAGGCAUUACAAUAAUCCAACCUAGAGGUAACAAAAGCAUGAACUAAUUUUUCUGCAUCGUUUAGUGACAAUAUAUUUCUUAUUUUAGCAAUAUUUAUGAGAUGAAAGAAAGCAAUCCUAGUUAUAUUAUCUACAUGAGCUUCAAAAGAAAGACUAGAGUCGAUAAUCACACCAAGGUCUUUUACUGCUGCACAUGAUGAAAGAGAAAGGCCAUCCAGAGUUAUUAUGUAAUCAGAAAGCUUACUUCUAACUGCAUGUGGUCCUAGUACAAGUACUUCUGUCUUGUCAGAAUUAAGUAAGAGAAAGUUAAUAAACAUCCAGUUUAUUAACUGGUAGCAUAUAUAAAGAAAAGAGCAGUGUGCCUAAAAUAGAGCAGUGCGGGACACCAAACUUUACCUUAGUAUGAGAAGAGAAGUCACCAUUUACGUUUACAAACUGAUAACGAUCAGUCAAAUAAGACCUGAGCCAGGAAAGGGCCGUUCCCUUAAUGCCUACUACAUUUUCCAGUCUAUCCAGGAGAAUAGCAUGAUCAAUGGUAUCAAAAGCUGCACUAAGGUCAAGCAGCACAAGCAAGGAGACACAACCCUGAUCAGAGUCCAGUAGUAAGUCAUUUACCACUUUAACCAGUGCUGUCUCUGUGCUAUGAUAAGGCCUAAAUCCUGACUGAUACAUUUCAUGAAUGUUAUUCCUAUGUACGUAUGAGCAUAGCUGCUGACCUUUUCUAGGACCUUGGAGAUAAAGGGGAGGUUUAAUAUUGGUCUAUAGUUAGACAGCUGACAGGAGUCAAGGUCAGGUUUUUUAAUCAAGGGCUUGAUAACUGCUAGUUUAAAAGAUUUAGCCAAUGCUAAGGGAAGAACUGAUUAUCUUUAAAAGAGGUUUGAUCGUUUCAGGAAUUAUCUGUUUGAAGAAACAAGUAGGUAAAGGAUCUAGUAUACAGGUUGAUGAUUUUGAUGAUGAAAUUAGUGAAAUUAGUUCAGUCACUUCAAGGGGAGUAAAACAUUGUAAUUGUUGAUCUGAUAUUAUUAUAUUAUCAUCUACAGGGUUAGUUAUAAAACUGUCCAGUUUUAAAUUAAUAGUCUGAAUUUUUUGCCUGAUAUUUUAAAUUUCACCAUUGAAAAAAUUCAUGAAGUCAUCGCUGCUAUAUAAUGAUUGUGUGCGUGUUUCUAUUGUGGUUUUAUUCCUAGUUAAUUUUGCUACAGUAUUAAAUAAGAAUCUAGGAUUAUUUCUGUUAUCUUCAAUUAGGGUGGAGAGAUACAUUGGUCUAGCAGCACUAAGAGCUUUCCUAUAGCUCAAAAGGCUCUCCUUCCAUGCUAUUUGAAACACUACUGAUUUAGUUUGACGCCAUUUAUGAUCUAAAUUGCAAAUACCCCUUUAUUGGUUAAUUUAUGUGCAAGCACAAUGAGCCCAGUGUGCAUCUCUUUUGUCUUUAUAGAUUAUUAAAUGAUUCCCUGCAACCACCCAUGGUCAACUUGGCAUAGCAGUGAAUUGCAAAAUGGAUGAAUUACGUGCAAGCAAAAAGAAACAAUACUAAACUAUUGAUUAAAACUGUUUCUGUUUAUGUAUUUGAUCUAGUACCCAAUGUACCUGUGGUGUUUAUGUUCUACUGUCCUUACUAUCCAAUACCUAAAAUUUCUGAGUUGUAUUUUAUUAAUUGUUUCCAAUAAAUUACUGCAAAUUAAAUACACCAGUAGCAUGUGUCUUUAUACACUAUAUUGCCAAAAGUUUUGGGACGUCUGCCUUUACAUGCACAUGAACUUUAAUGACAUCCCAUUCUUAAUCCGUAGGGUUUAAUAUGGAGUUGGCCCACCCCUUGCAGGAAUAACAGCUUCAACUCUUCAGGGAAGACUUUCCACAAGGUUUAGGAGUGUGUUUAUUAGAAUUUUUGACCAUUAUUCUAGAAGCGCAUUUGUGAGGUCAGGCACUCGUCUCCUCUCUAAUUCAUCCCAAAGGUGUUCUAUUGGGUUGAGGUCAGGAGGUAAGUUUCUCCACACUAAACUCACUCAUCCAUGUUUUUAUGGACCUUGCUUUGUGCACUGGUGCACAGUCAUGUUGGAACCGGAAGGGGCCAUCCCCAAACUGUUCCUACAAAGUUGGGAGCAUGAAAUUGUCCAAAAUGUCUUGUUAUGAUGAAGCAUUAAGAGUUCCUUUCACUCAAAUUAAGGGGCCAAGCCAAACCCCUAAAAAACAGCCCCACACAAUAAUCCCCCCUCCACCGAACUUUACACUUGGCACAUUGCAGUCAGGCAAGUACCAUUCUCCUGACAACCGCCAAACCCAGACUCAUCCAUCGGAUUGCCAGACAGAGUGUGAUUCGUCAUUCCAGAGAACACGUCUCCACUGCUCUAGAGUCCAGUGGCGGCGUGCUUUACAUCACUGCAUCCGACGCUUUGCAUUGCAUUUGAUGAUGUAAGGCUUGGAUGCAGCUGCUCGGCCAUGGAAACUCAUUCCAUGAAGCUCUCUACGCACUGUUCUUGAGCUAAUCUGAAGGUCACAUGAAGUUUGGAGGUCUGUAGCUAUUGACUCUGCAGAAAGUUGGCGACUUCUGCGCACUGUGCGCCUCAGCAUGCUCUGAUCCCGCUCUGUGAUUUUACGUGGCCUACCACUUCGUGGCUGAGUUGCUGUUGUUCCUAAUUGCUUCCACUUUGUUAUAAUACUAAUAACAGUUGACCGUGGAAUAUUUAGUAGUGAGGAAAUUACACGAAUGGACUUAUUGCACAGGUGGCAACCUAUCACGGUACCACGCUUGAAUUCACUGAGCUCCUGAGAGGAAUUCACUGAGCUCCAUGCCUAGGUGCUUGAUUUUAUACACCUGUGGCCAUGGAAGUGAUUGGAAUGCCUGAAUUCAAUGAUUUGGAGGGGUGUCCCAAAACCUUUGGCAAUAUAGUGUAUGUGUAUAUACACCAAUCAGACAUAACAUUAAAACCACUGACAUGUGACGUGAAUAACAUUGAUUAUCUCCUUAAAAUGGCACCUGUCAAGGGGUGGGAUAUAUUAGGCAGCAAGUGCAGUCAGUUCUCGAAAUUGAUGUGUUGGAAGCAGGAAAAAUGUGCAAGCGUAAGGAUCUGAGAGACUUUGACAAGGGCCAAAUUGUGAUGGCUAGAUGACUGGAUCGGAGCAUCUCCAAAACGGCAUGUCUUGUGGGGUGUUCCCGAUAUGCAGUGGUUAGUACCUACCAAAAGUGGUCCAAGGAAGGACAACCAGUGAAUCGAUGACAGGAUCAUGGGCAUCCGAGGCUCAUUGAUGUGUGUGGUGGAACGAAGGCUAGCCUGUCUGGUCCCAUCCCACAGAAGAGCUACUGUAAGUUAAUGCUGGCUGUGACAGAAAGGUGUCAGAGCACAGAGUGCAUUGUAGUUUGCUGCGUUGCAUGCUGUGUAGCUGCAGACUGGUCCAAGUGCCCAUGCUGACCCCUGUCCACUGCUGAAAGCGCCUACAAUACACACGUGAGCAUCAGAACUGGACCAUGGAGCAAUGGAAGAACAUGGCCUGGUCUGAUGAAUCACAUUUUUUUUACAUCAUGUGGACAGUCAGGUGCAGAGGCAGUGUGAUGCUCUGGGCAAUGUUCUGCUGGGAAACCCUGGGUCCUGGCAUUCAUGUGGAUGUUACUUUGACAUGUACCACCUACCUAAACAUUGUUGCGGGCCAAGUACACCCCUACAUGGCAACGGUACUCCCUAAUGGCAAUGGCCUCUUUCAGCAGGAUAAUGCACCCUGCCACACUGCAAAACGUGUUCAGGAAUGGUUUGAGGAACAUGGCAAAGAGUUCAAGGUGUUGACUGGCCUCCAAUUUCCCCAGAUCUCAAUCCAAUCGAGCAUCUGUAGGAUGUGCUGGACAAACAAGUCCAGAUCCACCUCCAUGGAUUAAAGGUUCUACUGGUAAUGACUUGGUGCCAGCACAAGGGAUCUACAGAAUAUUAGGCAGGUGGUUUUAAUGUUGUGGC